This 497-nucleotide ribosomal RNA is filed under the name uncultured bacterium. RNAcentral's name for it is "partial 16S ribosomal RNA". It matches the Rfam family "Bacterial small subunit ribosomal RNA", at positions 28 to 507 of the family's 1533-position model. The record is from RNAcentral.
GAUGAACGCUGGCGGCGUGCCUAAUACAUGCAAGUCGAGCGAACAGACGAGGAGCUUGCUCCUCUGACGUUAGCGGCGGACGGGUGAGUAACACGUGGAUAACCUACCUAUAAGACUGGGAUAACUUCGGGAAACCGGAGCUAAUACCGGAUAAUAUCUUGAACCGCAUGGUUCAAUAGUGAAAGACGGUUUUGCUGUCACUUAUAGAUGGAUCCGCGCCGCAUUAGCUAGUUGGUAAGGUAACGGCUUACCAAGGCAACGAUGGGUAGCCGACCUGAGAGGGUGGACGGCCACACUGGGACUGGGAACACGGCCCGACCCCUCAGGGAGGGCACAGGUGGGAAAUCUCCGCAAUUGGGGGAAAGCUGACCGGAGAAACCCCCGUGGGUGAAGAAAGGUUUCGGGUCCGUAAACCCCUUUUUUAGGGGAAAAAAAAAUGUGUAGGUAAUGAACGCCGUCUGACGGUAACUAAUCAAAAAAGCACCGGCAACCACGGG